AGUGGCGAACGGGUGAGUAACACGUGAGCAAUCUGCCCUUGACUCUGGGAUAACUGCGGGAAACUGUAGCUAAUACCGGAUACGACACCUUGGGGCAUCCCAGGGUGUGGAAAGAAUUUCGGUCAAGGAUGAGCUCGCGGCCUAUCAGCUAGUUGGUGAGGUAAUGGCUCACCAAGGCGACGACGGGUAGCCGGCCUGAGAGGGUGACCGGCCACACUGGAACUGAGACACGGUCCAGACUCCUACGGGAGGCAGCAGUGGGGAAUAUUGCACAAUGGGCGAAAGCCUGAUGCAGCAACGCCGCGUGAGGGAUGAAGGCCUUUGGGUUGUAAACCUCUUUUAGCAGGGAAGAAGCGAAAGUGACGGUACCUGCAGAAAAAGCACCGGCUAACUACGUGCCAGCAGCCGCGGUAAUACGUAGGGUGCAAGCGCUGUCCGGAAUUAUUGGGCGUAAAGAGCUCGUAGGCGGUUUGUCGCGUCUGCUGUGAAAAUCCGAGGCUCAACCUCGGACCUGCAGUGGGUACGGGCAAGCUAGAGUGCGGUAGGGGAGAUGGGAAUUCCUGGUGUAGCGGUGGAAUGCGCAGAUAUCAGGAGGAACACCAAUGGCGAAGGCACAUCUCUGGGCCGUAACUGACGCUGAGGAGCGAAAGCGUGGGGAGCAAACAGGAUUAGAUACCCUGGUAGUCCACGCCGUAAACGGUGGGUGCUAGU
This 711-nucleotide ribosomal RNA is filed under the name uncultured bacterium. RNAcentral describes it as "bacterial SSU rRNA". It matches the Rfam family "Bacterial small subunit ribosomal RNA", at positions 94 to 820 of the family's 1533-position model. The record is from RNAcentral.